GCACAGUUAGUUUAGUCUGGCUAGAAUUCUUGCCUGCCACGCAAGGGACCCGGGUUCAAAUCCCGGACUGUGCACCA
RNAcentral lists this transfer RNA (77 nucleotides) under Candidatus Heimdallarchaeota archaeon. RNAcentral describes it as "tRNA-Gly". It matches the Rfam family "tRNA". From Rfam's summary of the family: Transfer RNA (tRNA) molecules are approximately 80 nucleotides in length. The record is from RNAcentral. Lineage: Archaea; Promethearchaeati; Candidatus Heimdallarchaeota.